AUGCAAGAACAUGUUGUUUCAGCUGAUGGACUCCUUGCCUAUAGGCCUGGCUGCAGCCUUCUCCUAAAUUGCUUCUAUAAGAAUAAGGAGGUAAGUUUUUAUUCAGGGACAUAUGGCAGUAGCCCUUUGCUGUUGCCUUGGUCACCUCAUUUGGUCCCCACGGGACUGGUCCUUCUUCUAGUUCUUUGUACUUCCAUCUUCUCCCAGCUGUAUAUACCAUCCCUUUCAGCACAAUAUCAGUACUUUGUGACUUUUUUUUUUGUUUUGGGGUUUGCUUUUUGUUUUUGUUAUUUUGUUGAUGAUUCUCUACACAAGUGCCCUUUAUUCCAUUGUGGGGUUGGAGCCCCUACACAGCUCUCUCCAGUCAGUGUCUGCUUGCAGCUGGGCUGCCCAUUGCCAUGCUGCCCUGCUGCCCCACUGGUAGUGCUUGCUUGGCUCAGCCAGCAGGGCAGCACUCCCUGCCUCACGGGCAUUAGAUAGUCUUAUUCUUUUUUUCUUCUUCUUCUUUUUUUCGGGGGAGGGAGGAAGCAGAGAGGAAGAGCAGCUGUUUUUUUUGAAAUGCCUUCACUUCCUUUUAAACACUCCUGCAGAGUCACGUGUUUUGCUCUUCGGAAACAUCAGCUCUGCCUUCAUGAAACAACCCAGAUGCCUGAGACUGUGGGUGAGUAAAGGCAAGGUUAUGUGGGAGCAGGGGACGCGAGACUGGAGUGGGGACUUACCAGCUGCCUGCCCCAGGGCACAGCUAAGCUUCGUAGAGCAGCUCUGGGGACCAGCAACCAGGCAGACUGUGUCUGUGGCUUUGAUACCGAAGGCUGAAUGGUCCCCAUAUCACCCGAGGAGAUUGCUCGUGUACAGCGUUUCUGCCUUGGUAGCUGCAGUUACAGCUGUACUGGUCCUUGCUCCUCUACUUUAGCAAUAUCAGACACAGGCCCAUUGGCAACUAGAUUUCAGCUUAUGGGCAGCAAAGGACAGACAUCAGAUAGCUGUAAGAUUAAAUGUUUGGUGAGCCUGUUCAGCUGUUUUUUCUCACUCCCAUUGCAAUGCACUGGCCUUUGCAUGCAAUAGUACAAGUGCCACAGCCAGUGGCUUUUUGGGCUGUCCUGCUUCCCCCCAUUGGAGUUACAUGCUUUAACAGGAGGUGGGUCCUGCUGGCAUGCACAGCAAUUAGUCAGAAGCAGCUGGGCUGAUACCAACCAUUACAGCAUGCAAGGGAGAUGCUUACAUUGUCUCUCUCCACUGCCUAGGGUAGGAGAUUAAGCUCCCUGUAUCAUCAGUGGUAAAAAAGUCCCUGGGGAGCCAUUCAGAGCAUAUUAACUUCCCACUCUGAAUCAUGCCCUGGAAGAUGUGGUCUCAUUAUUGCCUGCAUAAAGGCCAUGGAAAGACUAAGCUUGUUUGUUAGUAUUAAGCAGGACGGCUCUAUCCAUGUGAUUAGCUUUGCCUCAGUCUAAGGCCUGUGGUUGCAGUGUAAGAUGCUCAUUGCACUGCCAUGUGCAAUCUAGAGGCAAGUAACUGGCUGCAGGGCUCUGCAGUAGGGCAAAGAAGGUGAUGCAAGGUCCAAAAAGAAAAAAAAGAAAAGCUGGAAAGAAUCAGCAGGCCUGAGGAGAAGCUGGUGCUUCUCCCCUUCUAUUUGAACUGCAACUUUUCUCAAAACCGGUGUCUAGCAGCAGACAUCAGAAAAAAAAAAAAAGCAGCAGACAUCAGGAAAAAAAAAGAUACAAACUCAAUGCAGUUUAAAAAAAAAAAAAAGAGAGAGAGCGAGCUCUGGAUGUGCUGAAGCCAAGCAACUUCCGAAUACAUCAUCUCCCACCCAGUCUGGUUCCUUUGUGACAGGCAUUUGUAAUGAGGUCUUAAAAAAAAAAAAAAUAAAGUAGAAAGUAUAAAAAAAUUUUUAAAGCCC
Struthio camelus australis is the source of this 1897-nucleotide long non-coding RNA. Lineage: Eukaryota; Metazoa; Chordata; Aves; Struthioniformes; Struthionidae. The record is from Ensembl.